CUAGCUUACGUGGAGGCGCUGGUGGGAUACUACCCUAGCUGUGUUGGCUUUCUAACCCGCACCACUUAUCGUGGUGGGAGACAGUGUCAGGCGGGCAGUUUGACUGGGGCGGUCGCCUCCUAAAAGGGAACGGAGGCGCUCAAAGGGUCCCUCAGAAUGGGUGGAAAUCAUUCAUAGAGUGUAAAGGCAUAAGGGAGCUUGACUGCGAGACCUACAAGUCGAGCAGGGUCGAAAGACGGACUUAGUGAUCCGGUGGUUCCGCAUGGAAGGGCCAUCGCUCAACGGAUAAAAGCUACCCCGGGGAUAACAGGCUUAUCUCCCCC
The sequence is a ribosomal RNA, 323 nucleotides long. It matches the Rfam family "Bacterial large subunit ribosomal RNA", at positions 2171 to 2493 of the family's 2925-position model.